Molecule: long non-coding RNA, 379 nt
Organism: Polistes canadensis
Lineage: Eukaryota; Metazoa; Arthropoda; Insecta; Hymenoptera; Vespidae
Exons: 3
Source: RefSeq, a predicted model, not a curated record
AAAACGAUCAAUUAUAUUUUGCAAAUAUUUUGUAGAUUACAGCUAUAAAUUGCAUUCUCUUAGUGUGACGAUAACUUAUUAUUAUUAUCUAUGGUUGCAGAUUAUUGCAGUUGCUGGUUGAAGAAAUGUAAUUCGAUUAUUGUUAACAAGGUAUACUUAUGGGAAUGAAGAAAUAUGUGAGAGAUAUAUUAGAAACCACUAUGAAAAGGAAAAAAUUUUUAGAAGAAACUUCGAAUACUUAUUGGAUCGAAUGCAUCUAGAAGAAACCACCAUAAGCGGAAGGUUUUCAUGAAAAUGAAAGGUAAUUAAAAAUAUAUUGCACACAUUUGUGUUUUAUUUUUUAAAUAAAUUCAUAACAAAAUGAUGAAUCCUUUCGGGA